Molecule: ribosomal RNA, 405 nt
Filed under: uncultured bacterium
Lineage: Bacteria
Description: partial 16S ribosomal RNA
Rfam family: Bacterial small subunit ribosomal RNA
Source: RNAcentral
GAUGAACGCUGGCGGCGUGCCUAAUACAUGCAAGUCGAGCGAAGCGGGGACGGGUGAGUAACACGUGGAUAACCUCCUAUAAGACUGGGAUAACUUAGGGAAACCGGAGCUAAACCGGAUAAUUAUAGAUGGCUCCGCGCUGGAUUAGCUAGUUGGUAAGGGAACGGCUUACCAAGGCAACGAUGCAUAGCCGACCUGAGAGGAUGAUCAGCCACACUGGAACUGAGACACGGUCCAGACUCCUACGGGAGGCAGCAGUAGGGAAUCUUCCACAAUGGGCGAAAGCCUGACGGAGCAACGCCGCGUGAGUGAAGAAGGUCUUCGGGUCGUAAAGCUCUGUUAUUGGGGAAGCGUUACCUAAUGAGAAAGCCACGGCUAACUACGUGCCAGCAGCCGCGGUAAUUC